GCAGACACAUUCCAGCCAAUCAGUAGCAGACCCUCCCUCCCAGACCCUCCCACCUCCUGGACAGCAUCCAUUGUGAAGCUGCAUUCUUAGUGAGCUGUCCAGGAGGUGGGAGGGUCUGGGAGGGAGGGUCUGCUGCUGAUUGUCUGGAAUGUGUCUG
This 157-nucleotide microRNA precursor is filed under the name Pelobates cultripes (western spadefoot toad). The record is from RNAcentral. Lineage: Eukaryota; Metazoa; Chordata; Amphibia; Anura; Pelobatidae.